GGGCCUCUAGCUCAAUGGUAGAGCUGCGGACUUUUAAUCCGUAGGUUGUGGGUUCGAGUCCCACGGGGCCCACCA
Molecule: transfer RNA, 75 nt
Filed under: Nostocoides sp. Soil756
Lineage: Bacteria; Bacillati; Actinomycetota; Actinomycetes; Micrococcales; Intrasporangiaceae
Description: Tetrasphaera sp. Soil756 tRNA-Lys
Rfam family: tRNA
About the family: Transfer RNA (tRNA) molecules are approximately 80 nucleotides in length. Their secondary structure includes four short double-helical elements and three loops (D, anti-codon, and T loops).
Source: RNAcentral